GGGUGAUUAGCUCAGCUGGGAGAGCACCUCCCUUACAAGGAGGGGGUCGGCGGUUCGAUCCCGUCAUCACCCAACA
This 76-nucleotide transfer RNA is filed under the name Klebsiella pneumoniae subsp. pneumoniae. RNAcentral's name for it is "tRNA-Val". It matches the Rfam family "tRNA". From Rfam's summary of the family: Transfer RNA (tRNA) molecules are approximately 80 nucleotides in length. Their secondary structure includes four short double-helical elements and three loops (D, anti-codon, and T loops). Lineage: Bacteria; Pseudomonadati; Pseudomonadota; Gammaproteobacteria; Enterobacterales; Enterobacteriaceae. The record is from RNAcentral.